UACAGAAAAAGAUAAAAUAAAAAACUAAGUCAUCUGUAACAUGAUAGAGGUAGUACCAAUUGAGGACAAAUUGAUAAUGAAGAUUUAGAUGAUUUGGAUAUGUACAAAGUAGGCCAUGGGAUGCACCAGUAAGAAGGAAUAGUUUGACACAUGUAGAAGCAAAGAGAGAAGUAUAUCAAAAAUCAAACGGGAUGCAGUAAUAAGGAAGGACUUGAUAUUUCUAUAUUUUUUCAAAAAUUGUGGCCCUAAAUAGAGCACGGAAUAGAUGAAGGGGAUUUAUGAGCCACCCAACUUGUUCAGGAUUAAGGAUUAUUUGAGUUGAGUUGAGUUUUGUAGUGAUAAUAAUUAGCUGGUUAAUUAUCAACCAUAAGACUGUGACUGAGGAUGAUAAAGCAUCGUUUCUCGAUGUCUUGAGGUCCAAUUGACAAAAACCUUAGAUAACAAUAAAGUGGAGGAAAGGUUGAGACAUAUGGUGGGGCGAGGGUGAUUUGAGCUGUUUUGUUUGUAGCGAAAUGCAAGAAUUUUUAGUAGAAAAAAAGAGAGUCCAGUCAGUCAGAGUUUGAUUGAAGGGAAGAUACAAAAUAUGCAGGAAAUCAAAAGGAGAUAACAGGCUUGUUCAGAAGACUAAAUCUUGUAUCUGCAUGCUAUAAGUUAUAUC
RNAcentral lists this long non-coding RNA (658 nucleotides) under Phoenix dactylifera (date palm). RNAcentral's name for it is "long non-coding RNA (PDAC_LNC002005)". Lineage: Eukaryota; Viridiplantae; Streptophyta; Magnoliopsida; Arecales; Arecaceae. The record is from RNAcentral.